Molecule: ribosomal RNA, 253 nt
Filed under: uncultured bacterium
Lineage: Bacteria
Description: partial 16S ribosomal RNA
Rfam family: Bacterial small subunit ribosomal RNA
Source: RNAcentral
UACGGGGGGGGUAAGCGUUGUUCGGAAUUACUGGGCGUAAAGAGCGCGCAGGCGGCUGGUCAAGUCCGAUGUGAAAGCUCCCGGCUUAACUGGGAAAUUGCAUCGGAAACUGAUCGGCUGGAAGGUGGGAGAGGGUAGCGGAAUUCCCGGUGUAGUGGUGAAAUGCGUAGAUAUCGGGAGGAACACCAGUGGCGAAAGCGGCUACCUGGCCCAUUCUUGACGCUGAGGCGCGAAAGCUAGGGGAGCAAACGGG